RNAcentral lists this long non-coding RNA (8405 nucleotides) under Eucalyptus grandis. RNAcentral's name for it is "long non-coding RNA (EGRA_LNC002953)". Lineage: Eukaryota; Viridiplantae; Streptophyta; Magnoliopsida; Myrtales; Myrtaceae. The record is from RNAcentral.
AAACAAAGUGUCAAAAUCGGAGCAAGAUAGAUCAGUUAAGUAUCAAUGGCUCGAAAAAAUGACCCAUUUUGCCACCUUUCAACAACCACACUUCAACAAUAAACAUGCAAAAAAAUCGUCUAGCCUUACCAUCCAGUUAAUUGCUAAGUGGCCAACACGACCACCUAAGAUGUUUCCUGAAAUUCCUCGGUGCUCAUCGCAUCAUCCUGGUAAAACAGUUUUCCUUACUUCGAAGACCAUCAUAGAAUCCUAUAUUGCUGCCUUAAACAUUCACGGAAGAAGAAUAAUAGGAGAAUACCAACACUCAUCUAUAGAUACUCAUUCUAUGGGAGUCCCCAUUCAAACUGCAGGAGGUGACGUCUUUAAAAUAUAACUGCCUACGUCAAUACAUGUAAAGCAAAAGUCUCGACAUCAAAUUAAUCACAUGGUACAGGCAGGAACUACUCCAGUUCUUUAGAUUUCAGCUAAUCAUCGUCCUCAAGAACAUUCCGACGCCUCUGGAUCUGGGACAAAAUUAUCAACCANNNNNNNNNNNNNNNNNNNNNNNNNNNNNNNNNNNNNNNNNNNNNNNNNNNNNNNNNNNNNNNNNNNNNNNNNNNNNNNNNNNNNNNNNNNNNNNNNNNNCAACCCAACCCAUAUUACCAAAACACAUUAUAUUUGACUCAAUUUAGGGUAAAUUAACCCUCUCAUUUAAUUCACGUUAAGCUCUACAUAUAUAUGUUACAUGAAUAAAAACCGCGCGUCAAAUUUAAAAAGUAAAUUAAAAAAUAAAAAAUUAGUAAAUAAAAUAGAAAAUGUGAAAAACAUUUAAUUAAACCUAAGAAAGCUUAUUUUUUUUACAAUAUUUUAAAAAAAUUAUAUUGCUAAAACACUUUCAUGCAAUACAAAUUUAAUGGAAAAUUUAUAUAAUUUUUAAUUAUUAUUUUUUUCUUCUUUUCUUUUUCUUUUUCUUAAGCUGGCCGCUGACCACGACGACGGCCGGCAACUAGCUCACUAGAUCAACAAGCUUAAGAUUUGCCAGAUCGACGAGAUCAAGCUCGCCUAAUGCCGGCGAGCCUUGAGCCUCACCAGACUUCAGUGAGGUCUCAGCCUCGCUAGAUCAACGAAGAGCUCGAGUCUCGCCAAAUCGGCAAGGCCCGAGCCUCGCUAGUCAUGGGUGAGGCCUCAGCCUUGCCAGAUCGAUGAGCUCAAGCUCACUCGACACCAGCAAGCUCAAGUCUUGCCAAAUUGGUGAGGUUUGAGCCUCACUAGUCAUCCAUAACCUCAAGCUCGCCUAAGGUCAAGCCUCUCUUGGCCAAUCAUCAGCCGUCACCAUGCCAGCCACCGGCUAAGGAAGGAGGAAGAAGAAAAUGGGGGAAAAAAGAAAGAAAAAGGAAAAAUAAAAAAUAAAAUAAAAAUGAAACAUAAAAAUAAUUAUAAUUUCGAUUUUUAUAAAGAAAGCAUUUUCAUAAAGUUAAAGAGUGAAAGUGACUUUGAGGCUUGGGUUGAAAAUGGGUUCUAAAUCUAACUCAUUUAAGACCGAUUUAUUUUAAACUUUCAAUUUUUAAAUUCAUUUAACUAGUCUCUUCAAAAUGUAAGUGACCCAUUUUGUUGACACCUCUAAUUUUUAACGCCAUUUUAAUUUUUCACAUAACCAAAAGAGAAGAAGAGAGAGAGAGUGGCGAGAGUGAUUAAGGAUCAAAGAUGGGAUUGAUACCCUAAACUGGUCAUCGGGAGUAACUAACUCAUCGUUAAUUGCGUUUUCGUUUAACUGGAAUUUACCAUUAUUUUGUUUAUCUCCUUUAUGUAAAAACUUUAGUAAAAUUACAGAAACAGCCCCACGAAUAGUUCAACAAACUUUUUCUCUUUUGCAAACUUAAUCUCUUUAAACCAAAAGUUCAAUCUAUGUUCUUAUAAAAAAACGAUAAUACUUGACGCUGGACAAUCGAUGCAAGUGUACGAGAAUGCGGUAUUAAUAAGGUCAACAGAGGCUGCCAUCUUAAAUGCUUUCAUCUCGUUUAUAAUUUUCUCUCAUUGGUAACUAUUUUUCUCUUCCAAAGGUAUGAACUUAUAAUAUCAUUCUCCAAUGUCACGUAAGUAAGCUAAGAUUGUCUCGUAUAAGUUAAAUUCAUCACACAUAGUAUUCAAGGGAAAGUUCUUUUUUUUUCCCUCUCCUUCGCCCGAAGUUGUCCUAACGAUGUGGUCCUCAAGUUUUCCCUCUCCUUCGCCCGAAGUUGUCCUAACGAUGUGGUCCUCAAGUUUUUGUCGGGGUAGAGGAGAAGAAGAGCAAAGAGCUUCUUGAAUUCUCCAUGCCUGAUAAAUCGUCGACUGAGGAAGAAUAAACGUUGUUCUUCCCCAAAACAACAAUACUUAUAAUGAUAAAAGAAAGAAAAAGUAAGAACAAUAACUUGUUUCAUCGUCCCUCUUAGUUCCCCGAACGAUUUUUUUUAGUAUUACAAUUGAGUGUUCUCUUUUUAAUUGCAUGUCAAUUUCGAUUAUUUUCUUUAUUUAAAAAAUAGCGUACUCUAAUCGAAGGAAUGGAUGACAGACAGGGUCCUCUCAAAGUAUAUAAAGAAUAAAGCCUUAUAUCUCGCAAAUUUUGACCACUCGAUGAAGUUGCUAAUUCAAGAAUGAAGAGGAGGAGAAGUUUUAUUUCUAUGUCGGGGGUAUGAAUCGAACCAUAAUUAAUUACAGCAUUGCUAAUGAAUAAUCGGCUCGACUGUUAACUAAAGCAGUUGAAAUUUCAAACCAUUCAAAAUUACGAGUCCCAACUUUGACCCUAAAAAAGUUAAAAGACUCAUAAGGAGAGAGAUGAAACAGUUAGUUACUUAAAGUAGCAAUUUAUUGAUUAUCGAUGAAUGAUGCCACAUGUUGUAAUCACCUGAUGUUUUUCAAAUUAAGAUCGAUGGAUUGGAAGGCAAGAAAGAAAGAAAGAAAGAAAAAGAAAAAAAAAAAGCGAAGCAAGGUAGGUUCCACUAUUUUCUGCAAACAAAUCAUAUGGUUGCUCAAUAUCAUUUUUCAUGUGACUAGCAUGAACGAAUCCAUUGGGCAGGAUUAUGAGAGAAGAAAGGAAGCGCCAAUAAAUAGAUUGAUUAUCAGGAAAGAAGAUAAUUCGAAACGUUGUUGGGAAAAAAACAAACAUUAAUCUGAGCUUGGUUCCAAAGAGACAAAAGGAAGAGAGUAUUAGAGACAGGACCACCAUAACCUGACGAGAAAUUGCUUUUGGCGCUGCCCAGGUGCACUUGGUUGUCUCCUUGGUGUCGCAACCUAUUUUUUUGAGUCACCGACAAAUAGAUUUAGAAGUAUAUACUCAAAAAACAGUAUAAAUUGACAUCCUAAAAAACAGCUCAAACACAUCAUUUAAUGGUUGAUCCAAACGAUUCAUUGAUUUUGAGUGUAAGCUCUCCCAAACCUAUAUCUCGCUUAACAUUAGACAUUUUCUAUAUUAUUUAACAACUAAGUUUUUUUUAGGAGUCACUACUAGUCAUUUUGGGUUGACUAGAAUCCAAUUGAGACGCGAGAGUAUCUUCUUAAUUUAUUCGGAUUAGAGAUUCUAAGCAUGGGAACUUGAUUAUGCUAAUGUUUUUAUUAAUGCCCUUUCGAUGCCUAAAUAGUUUAUUACCUAAGUGAUCAUGCCAAUAUUUUUGCAGGGUUAUUUUCAAUAUUGUCAAAACUAGACCUAGCCUAAUCUAGAAAAGAAAUUAACACACGAUUUAUUAAAAAGCGAUGCGAAAAGUAAGCACUCAACCUAUUGAAAUGCAAUGUUGUAUAUAAACAACCAAGAAAUUAUCUAAAUGCGAGAAAAGAAAACCCGAUUCAACAUCGAGCAAAAACUAUUAGAUGACCAUGUCAUAAGCCCCGAGACAUGAUCCCUCACGCACUAAAAUUUAAUCAAGUUUAAUUCCUCGCCUAAAAGGUUGACCUCCUAAAAAAGACUAAAUUAUAUCAAGCAUUUGCUAAAAAAAGUCUAAUCAUAUAUAUCAGCUAAAAUGAGACCAGGCUAAACCUAAAACUUACAUAAAACAACCCAUUCAAAGCUUGAUUCUAAGACUAUUUCUGAUUUUUUUUAAAUAUUUUCGAUCUUUAGUUUUUUAAAAUAAAAAUACGUUUUUAUUCCGAAAAUAAGGACUCAGGCCCUGGGCCUGGAUCCACAAAUUUAAAGUAAUGCAUAACCUAAACGUGACCUCUAAAUAUUUAUGGAAUUCUAACUAAUACUUUUUGGGUUUUUCUUUUAUAAUAAGAAAUUAAACUAUAAUCAAUGCAUGGGAUGCAAUCUUCAUUUUAAAUUAUGUGUCGAGCUAAUUUAACAUGAAAAGUAAUAUGCAAUCUGUCGACCUAAUUUUAAUGACAAUUAAAAUUAAUGCACUAAUUUAAGUGGCAUAAAUCUUGAUUUAUAUGACCCUAAAUAUGCAAUUACUAAAUUACAUGGAAACUAUGACACGGCAUAUGACAUUGCAAUGGCAUGGCGACAAUGAUGAUGUGAAAAUUAUAUGGCGAUGACAUAGCAACAUGAUGUGGCAAUCAUAAGGCAUAGAUGACAUGAUAAUAAUGCAACUUAUUCUAAAUGAUAUGCAUGAUAUUAUUAUUUUUUGUGAUUUUUAAAAUCUUCUAAUCUAAUUUAGGAAAUAAUUUAGAUAAAAUCCUAUUAUAAAUUAGCAAAUUAUAUAAGAUACUAUUGAUCCUAAAUAUGCAAUUCUGAGAUAGCAAAUAAAUAUGAAUGCAAUCUAAUAUUCAUGCCAUGCAAAUUUUUUUAUAUAAUUAUUUAAGAUAGGGAAGUUUACUAAAAAUCAACACAAGCAAUAAACCAAAUAAACCAUAUAAUUCGCCAAGGUCCGCAACACAAAGUCAAAUUAAUGAAAAGCCUAAUCCUCUCUCACGGCUCAAUAUUCUUAAGUAUUUCGACUUUCAAUACAGCAACUUUCCUAAUCAGUUAAUGCCUAGCAUUUUCCAAAGGUUAUAAUCAAAUAAUUCGAAUUAGGCAAUAUAAUAUAAUAUUGAACAAGUAAACUAAAAAAUUACCUAAAAACGGCAAGGGUAUUCACGCGAGGCAUGUCCAGCCAAGGAGCAGCAACCAGAGCGUCCCUAACGUGUGAGAAACUCAACGAGCCCGGCUGGACAGUGUAUCAAUGAUGGUGCAAUAGGCGCGGCGAGGGAUAAGACACAGCGGCGGAGGCAAGCGCAAGUGCGAACAUGGCAAUGGCGGAGGACCACAAGCGGUUGUAGGAGUCCUAAGAACUUGGUUCUUUCUUAGGUCUCUUCUGUGACGUGCACUUGUAUGUUCAAGAAUUGGAGAAUGUGUCUAAUGUUGGGUGAUCUUUGGCCUCUCUCAACCAAAAGCUAAAUCAAAGCUUUUCUUUAUACUUAUAAAUCGACCACCGGUCCCUUCCACAACCGAUGAGGAACAACCUCAAUAAUCUCCCCCUUUUGAUACCUCAACCAAUGGGAUCCCAUCACUCAAAGAAGCUAUGGAAGCAGUACCAGCUAUGGCCACUGCAAAUGUAGCCAUGCCCAUCAACAAAUGCCAUGAGGCCACCGAUCUGGUUUAAGGUUCUAGAAUAUAUAGAGUAGGUUUUGAGUUCCAUAAAUUGAGUAACCUGUUUUGAUUAGUAGGUUCUAAGUUAUAAGGGGAACCGAGAACCUAGAACAAGUCUUUGUGUUUUCCUUAUGCUAUGUUUUCACAUGAUCGUGCGACAUUCCAUAGCGUCCAAUAAUGUGUGUAAUAUGAAAUCACUAAUAGGAGCUUCCAAAUCCCGCGAUAUCCAUAACUGAGACUUUUACUUUAUUAUUAUCUUAUAAUUUUAUGUAUAAAUAUGAAUUGCGAUCGAUAGAUUGUAGCAAAUGGUGGUUAUUAAAGAUGAUAAUUGUUUUCAUUUCUACUACAGUACUACCACAAUCCACCAUAGUAUGAACAAUAUUUCUACAGUGAUAACUACAAUCAUUCAAUUAAGAAUAUAGAUUAAAUCUAGAUAGACCUUAGAACUGGUAAUAAGAACUGGUAAUAAGGUAAGUCUCAAAGUAUGUAGAGUAGGUUCUAGGUUCCAAAAUUUAGGAAAUCGAUUUCGAUGAGUAGGUUUGAGGUUCUAGAUGGAACUUGAAAUUGCUCACCUCUAAAUAUUACAUGUGAGGACCUCACUAGCUAACAGUAUAGAAACAAUACAAUAACAUGACAAUCUUUUCUCCUCUCUUUUAUCAAAGAACAUAAUACAUCAAACAAAGUAAUAUAUUAAUAAUAGUUUGUUUUUUGUAAUGUAUAUAUUAAUAAUAGUUAAAAUUUGACUGUGAUGGCUAUAUUGCCAGGUACAUGCAUGCGCACCCUUUAUGGAACCACGCAAGUCAUACUCCACUUUUUGCAUUGUAGGCAAAACUUUUCCAGUAAGUUUUUUGCAAAAUUAUAAAGCUACGUUUGAUUGUUUGGAUUUCUAAUUAUGAUAUGAUUGAAUAUAAUAGGAUAUUAAAUCAAGGGAAUUUUACCGUAUCAUAGACAGUGUUUGGUGAUUCAAUAAUAAAGUUAGAUAUAUUCACAUCAUAUCAUAUUUAUUGUUUGGUUAAACCGCCAUAACAAUAUAAUUUAAUUAUAAAUUUUAUAGAUAUAGAUGGUAACAAUCUUUAUUUUUAUUUUUAUUUUCCUCUUUUUUAAUUAAUUUUUUUUAUUUCUUUCCUUCCCUUAUGUCAUUUUCUAAUAAAAUUUUAUUAAUAAAAUAUUGUAACAAUAUUCCCAAAAUUUUAAAAUACCUAAAAUAUGUAAUAAAUAUAAAUAUAUAUUAAUGUAUUGAGUUUUAUAUUAUAAAAUAGAAAUAAAUUCUAAUAUAUAAAUAAAAAUAACAUUAAAUUAAAAAAUAUUUUUUGCAUUAGGAUCCCGAUUCGCGGAUCUCUCGGUUUGAGAAAUAAAAAUAAGAGGGAACCCUUAUCUUCUAUACUAUCCAAUAUUUAUUGGAUAUUCUACUUUUCUAUAUUCAAUAUCUUAUAUCAGAAUUCAAAUAUUAUUUAUAUUAUAAUAUAAUUUUAAAUUUGUUAAUUUAAUAAAUUUUUUAUUUAAGGAAUACUUUCCUAUUAUGGACAUAGGGAUUCUAUUGACUUUUAUCCCACAUCUCAUGGGAUAAAUUUAUCCGACCUAUAUCUCAUUUAUAUCCAAUUUUAUCAUGUAUCAAGCAGACACCAAACGUAGGAUUAGAUAAAUUUUAUCCUGACUGCCAAAUGCAGCUUAAAGUAGUUUUUACUCUGUAAUCAUCUCUAAAUAUUCCCACAAGUGGAAGUUUCUUCAUCUUGGUCGAUUACCCAAAGCACGUACAUUACCGUUCACGCUGGCAUUAUCUUGUUGAAUUUGAUUGCGUAAUGUGGAAAUGAAGAGUUUGAAAUUUCCAUCUUCUAAGACUUCUAUUUAAAUGAGAUUCUUUAUCGAAUUUUCUAAAAAAAUUCUGAAUCAGAAUCUCGAAACCCCAAUUCAUUAAGCACAGCCACUGGCGAGACGCCACUACCACCAAGCAGCACGCCUUCACCACGGUCAAGCGGCUGCUACGCCCGGACGAUCCUUGAUCUUGACUCAUUUCUGUCUCGAUUUUCUCUCCUUGAGAGAGAGAGAGAGAGAGAGAGAGAGAGAGAGAGAGCACGAGAGGCAAAGGGGAGAUAAAGGCCGUACAAAUCGCUGUGGGCUAUAUGUGGUGGCCGUCGUCGCAAUCUGCCAGCAACAGCAAGCUCCAGAGUGGUCGUCGUUGCUACCAGUGCCGCCUCCACAGUUCCACCUCUGUAGAUUACGGUUUUCGUCGACAAUAUUGCAGACCAAUUUCUAGAUUUGACUUCUUUUUUAUUUUUUCCUUAAGUUAACUUUUGUCAACUUAAAGUAGGUUUAAUCAAAAUCCAUCAUGGCCCAAACCCUAUGGGCUUAACCUUUUUGAACCUAUCUUGACCUACACUUUACAAAAGUUGGGUACUCACAGAAAACCCUAUCCAAUUAAUUUGAGAUUGAAAAUUUUGAAAAAAUUGACCCAUUUUGCCACCUUUCAAACAACCACUUCAACAGUAAACAUGCAAAAGAAAUCGUCUAGCCUUACGAUCCGAUUAAUCGCUGAGUGGCCAACACGACCACCUAAGAUGUUUCCUGAAAUUCCACGGUGCUUAUCGCAUCAUCCUGGUAAAACAGCUUUCCUUACUUCGAAGACCAUCAUAGAAUCCUAUAUUGAUUCCUGCCUUAAACAUUCACGGAAGAAGAAUAAUAGGAGAAUACCAACACUCAUCUAUAGAUACUCAUUCUAUGGGAGUCCCCAUUCAAACUGCAGGAGGUGACGUCUUUAAAAUAUAACUGCCUACGUCAAUACAUGUAAAGCAAAAGUCUCGACAUCAAAUUAAUCACAUGGUACAGGCAGGAACUACUCCAGUUCUUUAGAUUUCAGCUAAUCAUCGUCCUCAAGAACAUUCCGACGCCUCUGGAU